UCCCCCAGCUUCUGAGGGAGACACACAUGUAAUCCUUUAAUCUGGGCAGGAGGUGAGCACUAGGGAGAGAUCUAAGGGCAGAGGCCGCUGACACAGAGGAUAAAGUCUGAGCCACGGAGACCUCCCGGACAGCAACCGUAAUAUUUGGGAGCACCAGGAACGGAACCUCAGUGCGUAUGUCUCAGAAGCAGCUGGACCAGCAUGUCGAGGGGAUUUUUCCUUAGGGCUCCCAGUAAAACAGGUGCAUGCCCGAACGCUCAGAAGCAUGGAGAAGAAAUCAGGACAGAAAUGUGGAGGCAAACAGGCCCAGCUCUCCCUACAGCUGAUUUUUAAGAACACAUUUCUUCCCUAUUUUAACAUAAUGCAAGAUUUAUUUCUGUCAAGCAAUACUAGAUUAUACGCACACGCCUACCUGAACAGGAGCCUAUGUGCCCUUAUUUUUUUGCACAUGACUCAGACCCCGGUUUCCCAGAGUCUCUUGGUCCUCAGAGACACUGCCACUGUGUCACCUGCCACAGUCAGAAAUCCUCAGACCCUAACCAUCCACGUAUGUGACCACUGGACAUAUCAGUGUGGAAUUGGAAGUGAGCAGAAGAUCCCAGUCGUUUCAAAUGGCUCUGGGGCCGAAACGACAUUUGAGGUGAAAAAGAACCAUGAUCUCCGUCCCUCUUAACUUGACCCAGCUCAUUGCUCAAGAGGCAGGCUCCCCACUGGUUCCUCUUCCAAGUGCUCUUAACAAACUCAUCAGGCCUCACAAAGCUGUAUUUCCCCCUCUCAGUCAGAAAACACAGAUCAAUAUACUCAGCAGAAGCACUUA
Neofelis nebulosa (Clouded leopard) is the source of this 817-nucleotide long non-coding RNA. RefSeq lists it as uncharacterized. NCBI's taxonomy places the organism in Eukaryota, Metazoa, Chordata, Mammalia, Carnivora, Felidae. The record is from RefSeq and is a predicted model, not a curated record. The transcript is spliced from 2 exons.